GCCCUAAUGGCGGAAUUGGCAGACGCGCAACGUUCAGAUCGUUGUUUAGUUUUUCUAAGUAUGGGUUCGAGUCCCUUUUAGGGCA
RNAcentral lists this transfer RNA (85 nucleotides) under Apilactobacillus micheneri. Its description in RNAcentral is "Lactobacillus micheneri tRNA-Leu". It matches the Rfam family "tRNA". Rfam says of the family: Transfer RNA (tRNA) molecules are approximately 80 nucleotides in length. The record is from RNAcentral. Lineage: Bacteria; Bacillati; Bacillota; Bacilli; Lactobacillales; Lactobacillaceae. RNAcentral also lists the same sequence under 1 other name.